Molecule: long non-coding RNA, 1269 nt
Filed under: Prunus persica (peach)
Lineage: Eukaryota; Viridiplantae; Streptophyta; Magnoliopsida; Rosales; Rosaceae
Description: long non-coding RNA (PPER_LNC001888)
Source: RNAcentral
AGCCUUUUCCCCAUAUCUCAAUGGUUGCUUCUCAAGGCGUAACAUUAGGUUGGUAAUUGACUCUCCUUUUCCCUUUAAAACUCCAUUCUACUCCAUCACUUUGUGUUAGUAUUGGGAAGAUAUUUAGUUUAUUGUAAAGUGAGAAAUACAUACGGUGCAGAGGGGGUGAAAAGCAUAUGGUGCUAGCUGAUCUAUGUAAGUUGGGUAGUUCCAUCGGCCCGGUGGGUUGCUCUUCUCUUCUAUGUGAUAAGCAGAUAUUGCUAAGGGUUGCAUGAAGGAAAAGUUCUUUGGGCUUGCAUCGUGAUAACUGUUUUUUGGGUCUACAAACUUAAACCAUAUAGAAAACCUUUGUAGUUAUAUUUAGCUAAUUUUAUUUCAGUAGUGUAAGUUUACUCCUAUUUAUCUGAUCUAGUUCAUCAUGUUCUUGAAGAAAGAUAUGAUUUAUUGGCUUUGAGCAUCAGACCACAUUACUUAUGUCGAUACUUUGUUCUUCUAAUUGAUACGGAUUCUGUUGGGAAAUAUAUUGCUCAGGGAGCAUCAUCAGUUGUUUUAUAUGAUGCCAUAUUUUGAUAAAGAAGCAAUUGGUCAAAAAUAUAUAUAUAUAUAUAUAUAUAUAUAUAUAUAUCAACUUGCACAUGCCGCAGCUUUCCAUGGCAAUGAAGCUGCCCAUGGCAAUGAAGCUGUAGUCCGGUUAGAUGUUGUACUCUAUUUCAUAAUGAUGUUUUUUUCACUUAUGUAGGAUGUUUAUUCAUAACAUUGUUAUUGUUACUAUAAUAUUGUUUUCCCUGUUUAUCUUCAACUGAAAAUUUACUGCUACAAUUAAUUUAGAAACUUCGAGAGUGGACAAAACCUAUGUGGCUUUGUUCUGGGUAAAUGCUGGCAUACCACAUCUUUUACAUUGACAUUUCAAUAGGCAAACCCGGGCUUUCUUGUUGGAGGUGUUCGGAAUUUGGAUUCGAGCAGGUGUGUCCUAGGAGCUACUUUUUGUCGUUGACAAAGGGCUAUUUGUUAGGAGCCAGAAAAAGCUGGUUACUCUUGGAGGUGGACGGUUUUGUCUAUUACAUUGCGUGUUAGAUUUGGAUGGACUACGGUGGUUAUUUAGGGAAACAAGGAAGAAUUGAAGUUACUCGUCUGGACUAGGAUUAAGCUUUUAGCUUCUUCUUGGACUUCUUUGCUGAAGAAUUUUAACUUUCUUAUUGUGUAUUGAGUAUAUUAAGUGUUCUGUAAAGCCAAAUCGAGAUUUCCAUCUAUAUUAACAGUCUCAUAUCC